Molecule: ribosomal RNA, 221 nt
Filed under: Shigella flexneri
Lineage: Bacteria; Pseudomonadati; Pseudomonadota; Gammaproteobacteria; Enterobacterales; Enterobacteriaceae
Description: partial 23S ribosomal RNA
Rfam family: Bacterial large subunit ribosomal RNA
Source: RNAcentral
AGCUGGGUUUAGAACGUCGUGAGACAGUUCGGUCCCUAUCUGCCGUGGGCGCUGGAGAACUGAGGGGGGCUGCUCCUAGUACGAGAGGACCGGAGUGGACGCAUCACUGGGGUUCGGGUUGUCAUGCCAAUGGCACUGCCCGGUAGCUAAAUGCGGAAGAGAUAAGUGCUGAAAGCAUCUAAGCACGAAACUUGCCCCGAGAUGAGUUCUCCCUGACCCUU